UACGGAGGGUGCAAGCGUUAGUCGGAAUUAUUGGGCGUAAAGGGUGCGUAGGCGGGAAUGUAAGUCAAACGUGAAAUUCCGGAGCUCAACUCCGGGGCUGCAUUUGAAACUACAUUUCUUUGAGGGAGAGCGGAGAAAACGGAAUUCCAUGUGUAGCGGUGAAAUGCGUAGAUAUAUGGAAGAACACCUGUGGCGAAAGCGGUUUUCUAGCUUGACCUGACGCUGAGGCACGAAAGCAAGGGGAGCAAACAGG
This 253-nucleotide ribosomal RNA is filed under the name uncultured bacterium. RNAcentral describes it as "partial 16S ribosomal RNA". It matches the Rfam family "Bacterial small subunit ribosomal RNA", at positions 524 to 776 of the family's 1533-position model. The record is from RNAcentral.